Molecule: ribosomal RNA, 470 nt
Filed under: Ralstonia pickettii
Lineage: Bacteria; Pseudomonadati; Pseudomonadota; Betaproteobacteria; Burkholderiales; Burkholderiaceae
Description: bacterial SSU rRNA
Rfam family: Bacterial small subunit ribosomal RNA
Source: RNAcentral
AUUGAACGCUGGCGGCAUGCCUUACACAUGCAAGUCGAACGGCAGCAUGAUCUAGCUUGCUAGAUUGAUGGCGAGUGGCGAACGGGUGAGUAAUACAUCGGAACGUGCCCUGUAGUGGGGGAUAACUAGUCGAAAGAUUAGCUAAUACCGCAUACGACCUGAGGGUGAAAGUGGGGGACCGCAAGGCCUCAUGCUAUAGGAGCGGCCGAUGUCUGAUUAGCUAGUUGGUGAGGUAAAGGCUCACCAAGGCGACGAUCAGUAGCUGGUCUGAGAGGACGAUCAGCCACACUGGGACUGAGACACGGCCCAGACUCCUACGGGAGGCAGCAGUGGGGAAUUUUGGACAAUGGGCGAAAGCCUGAUCCAGCAAUGCCGCGUGUGUGAAGAAGGCCUUCGGGUUGUAAAGCACUUUUGUCCGGAAAGAAAUGGCUCUGGUUAAUACCUGGGGUCGAUGACGUACCGGAAGAUAA